UCCCAGUUCAAUGCUCAUUUUUUCAGCGGCACCAACGAUCUCUAUCGGCCCCGGCAGAGUACAUGAAACGACAACUCUGGUUCAGGUAAGGACAGCUAGCGAAGGACCAUAAGGCCGGUAACGUACGUUAUUUAACUGAGAACACUCAGAGCCCCUCUGGCUCUGACAACCACGUCGGUGCCCUCGUAGUCGACCCUCGUUCCGCUCCCUUACUCUGGCUUUGGUUUGAUUUUCCCAUUCUUACCUCCGGCGCUGAUGUGUCUGCCAUUUCACUCGAUACACUACGCCGCCGCCUUGAUCUGUGGGCGUCUACCAACGGCUAUCCUUCUGUCCUGUUUUCGGACCACGCCGCUCCGUUCCAGUCUGCCGAUUACACCGACCUUUGCCACUACUGUAUUGGCGUUGAAUCAUUCACCACCUUGACUUACCACCAUAAUUCAAAUGAUAAGGCUGAGAUCAGUGUUUUACGUCUCAAGAGCAUUCUUGGACAGUAAAUGGUUCCCCUGAGGAUGCUUUCAUCGAUCCCCUCCCGCUGCUGGUGUGUGCCUAUCAACGCCCUGAAUUCUUCUACGGGUGACUCCCCCUUCUUUCUUCCCUGAGGGGUCGAAUUCCACUCUCCGGUUGACACCGUUGUGAGACUCGCAUCGAAAACGUGGACCCGAUCUCUGGCUCCCAAGCGUUCAAAGGUUCACCCAUCGCACCUCACUCCUUGCGGCUGAGUCCUCUCGUGAGGAGCCCAGCCUGUCCGGGGAUGUGUUCUGUAAGCUCGCAUUGCAUAUCAACCAAAAAAGUUAAACAAGAAACACAGGAAUGCAAGUAGGCAGCUCAGUAUAUAUCAAG
This 840-nucleotide unclassified non-coding RNA is filed under the name Yarrowia lipolytica. The record is from RNAcentral. Lineage: Eukaryota; Fungi; Ascomycota; Dipodascomycetes; Dipodascales.